CGGAAGGUCCGGGCGUUAUCCGGAUUUAUUGGGUUUAAAGGGAGCGUAGGCCGUCUGUUAAGCGUGUUGUGAAAUGUCGGGGCUCAACCUGGGCAUUGCAGCGCGAACUGGCAGACUUGAGUGCGCAGGAAGUAGGCGGAAUUCGUCGUGUAGCGGUGAAAUGCUUAGAUAUGACGAAGAACUCCGAUUGCGAAGGCAGCCUGCUGUAGCGUAACUGACGCUGAAGCUCGAAAGCGUGGGUAUCGAA
Molecule: ribosomal RNA, 247 nt
Filed under: uncultured bacterium
Lineage: Bacteria
Description: partial 16S ribosomal RNA
Rfam family: Bacterial small subunit ribosomal RNA
Source: RNAcentral